This is a long non-coding RNA of Gadus morhua (Atlantic cod), 358 nucleotides long. RefSeq lists it as uncharacterized. The record is from RefSeq and is a predicted model, not a curated record. The transcript is spliced from 3 exons. NCBI's taxonomy places the organism in Eukaryota, Metazoa, Chordata, Actinopteri, Gadiformes, Gadidae.
UCUCUGUACUGUGCGUCAUAUCGGUUCUGGGUCCGUCGCAGCGAUCAGCCCUUCUUCCUCCGCUUUUAAAACCUUUCACCUGAUUAACUUGUUUUAUAAACUCUUUAACCUCCGUUUCUUCCGUUACUAUUAUUCUUUCUCACAACUUUAUACCGUAUGGACGCAUUUUAAUCCCGGAGUAGAUAAGGCUAGCUUCGAUUUCCCUGAAAGCACGUGACGGCAGAGAGGGGCGGGUCCUGUGAGGUGCGGGACUUCCUCGUCCAGUGCACUGCACCUCGUUGUUCGAGGCCACUUCCUCGUCCUCCGCAGAGGAGGAGGUUGGUGGCGGGGUCGGGUUCGGUAUAUGUGCGGUCAGUUG